This 768-nucleotide ribosomal RNA is filed under the name Listeria monocytogenes. RNAcentral describes it as "bacterial SSU rRNA". It matches the Rfam family "Bacterial small subunit ribosomal RNA", at positions 1 to 750 of the family's 1533-position model. Lineage: Bacteria; Bacillati; Bacillota; Bacilli; Caryophanales; Listeriaceae. The record is from RNAcentral.
UUUAAAGAGAGUUUGAUCCUGGCUCAGGACGAACGCUGGCGGCGUGCCUAAUACAUGCAAGUCGAACGAACGGAGGAAGAGCUUGCUCUUCCAAUGUUAGUGGCGGACGGGUGAGUAACACGUGGGCAACCUGCCUGUAAGUUGGGGAUAACUCCGGGAAACCGGGGCUAAUACCGAAUGAUAAGAUGUGGCGCAUGCCACGCCUUUGAAAGAUGGUUUCGGCUAUCGCUUACAGAUGGGCCCGCGGUGCAUUAGCUAGUUGGUAGGGUAAUGGCCUACCAAGGCAACGAUGCAUAGCCGACCUGAGAGGGUGAUCGGCCACACUGGGACUGAGACACGGCCCAGACUCCUACGGGAGGCAGCAGUAGGGAAUCUUCCGCAAUGGACGAAAGUCUGACGGAGCAACGCCGCGUGUAUGAAGAAGGUUUUCGGAUCGUAAAGUACUGUUGUUAGAGAAGAACAAGGAUAAGAGUAACUGCUUGUCCCUUGACGGUAUCUAACCAGAAAGCCACGGCUAACUACGUGCCAGCAGCCGCGGUAAUACGUAGGUGGCAAGCGUUGUCCGGAUUUAUUGGGCGUAAAGCGCGCGCAGGCGGUCUUUUAAGUCUGAUGUGAAAGCCCCCGGCUUAACCGGGGAGGGUCAUUGGAAACUGGAAGACUGGAGUGCAGAAGAGGAGAGUGGAAUUCCACGUGUAGCGGUGAAAUGCGUAGAUAUGUGGAGGAACACCAGUGGCGAAGGCGACUCUCUGGUCUGUAACUGACGCUGAG